ACAAGGGCCUGUCCUGGCUUCCAUUUUUGAUGGUGCAAUUUUGCAUCCGCAGUAGACUCGCAGGCAGAAACAGGAAAGUCAGUGGGGGCUGCACAUUGUUCAGCACCUUUGGGGAAAAAAAUCAGGCCACUUUCUAUUUAGAUGGUCAGACGUGGAUUUAGGAGCCAAAAUUUAAGGACCCCGGUUGGAAAAUGUUGGCCCUAGCUACUUGAUUUGUAGGCAUGGGUUUCCUGGCUCUUAUGGGUUUCAGUUCCAGUCUGAUUUCUAGACGACAGAGGUUUGGUGAAGCAUGUGUACUUCUGUAUCCUCCUCCAAACUGUACGGAGAUUCUUUCAUUCCACUGCACCCUGACAAGUGGACUUAGCCUCCUGCAGACAGCAUGCUUUAGAAUUCAUGCAGCUUCAUCUCAUGAUAGUUACGUUCAGGAAGACCAUUGCAGUAGAUUUCUUUACCAUUGGGAAGUUCAAACCCAUCCAACAUUAAUCACUUUACUUCAAAGCCUGGAGCUUGGCCUUGGAUACAUGGUGCUCCCAAGGAGGCAGGAAGAACGUUCAGUCCCCGUAAGAAAAGAACUCCUCUAGUGUAGUGCCUAUCAAGUUUCUAACAAGCCUGAUGCUUCUGACUUCCAACUGGCACAGUCUGCUUGAGCAGUGGGUGCCGAGCGCCGGGGCAGGAAAGGGAAAGGUGGGAUGCUGCAUUUCUGCUGAAAACUGACAUGACGUGGAGAAUUUGUAAUGGUACCUUUUGGGGGGUCAGAGGCCUGAUUCACCGCUAAGUUCCUCCAGUUCUGUGCUUGCAUAGCACUGGGCUAGUGCUAUGGAGACUCAGGCCCAUGGUUCACACUGAUGUGAUGACAAUCCCGCUGGCUUGGAACUCCUUGGACACCAGAGGGAAGCUUCCUUGCUACGAUUGCUUCCUCAAAACAGCCGGGGACGGAAACGUCGGAGCCAGACGCAAGCCAAGCACCGUGAGAGCCGAAGGCAGGGUCCAUCCCCACAGGCUGUGUUGGAGUCCAGAGAUGCCGUUGGCUGCUCUGAGAUUAAGCACCUUGCAUUGUUUUCGGUCUCAGACUGGAUCCCGAUGGAAAGCCCAAGGGAAGACACACACUGACGUCAGUGGGCAUUGGAUCCAGCCCUGGGUUCUCAACAGACUCUCCCAUUAUCCUGCUCAGUCGUGUCUGAAGACGAAGGAAGUUGAGGUGCCUGCCCCAAGGAACUUGAGGAUACUGGCUCAGAGCUCUCUUGACAUGGGCUGUCUCUUAUGAGCCAGAAGGACUGUUUGUAUUAACAACAGGCCAAAUCCUGAGGUAUGCCCAUGCCUUGAAUACUGCGAGCAGUUCUGAUCACCCCAUCUCAAAAAUAUAUUUGGAAAAUAUACAGAAAAGGACAAUAAAAAUGAUUAGUGGUGUGGACCA
RNAcentral lists this long non-coding RNA (1414 nucleotides) under Chrysemys picta bellii (western painted turtle). RNAcentral's name for it is "lncRNA (ENSCPBG00000005691.1)". Lineage: Eukaryota; Metazoa; Chordata; Testudines; Emydidae. The record is from RNAcentral.